RNAcentral lists this ribosomal RNA (695 nucleotides) under uncultured Gilliamella sp. RNAcentral describes it as "bacterial SSU rRNA". It matches the Rfam family "Bacterial small subunit ribosomal RNA", at positions 662 to 1357 of the family's 1533-position model. Lineage: Bacteria; Pseudomonadati; Pseudomonadota; Gammaproteobacteria; Orbales; Orbaceae. The record is from RNAcentral.
UAGAAUUCCACGUGUAGCGGUGAAAUGCGUAGAGAUGUGGAGGAAUACCGGUGGCGAAGGCGGCCUUCUGGACAGAUACUGACGCUGAGAUGCGAAAGCGUGGGGAGCAAACAGGAUUAGAUACCCUGGUAGUCCACGCUGUAAACGAUGUCGAUUUGGAGUUUGUUGCCCUAAGUGAUGGGCUCCGAAGCUAACGCGAUAAAUCGACCGCCUGGGGAGUACGGCCGCAAGGUUAAAACUCAAAUGAAUUGACGGGGGCCCGCACAAGCGGUGGAGCAUGUGGUUUAAUUCGAUGCAACGCGAAGAACCUUACCUGGUCUUGACAUCCACAGAAUCUUGCAGAGAUGCGAGGGUGCCUUCGGGAACUGUGAGACAGGUGCUGCAUGGCUGUCGUCAGCUCGUGUUGUGAAAUGUUGGGUUAAGUCCCGCAACGAGCGCAACCCUUAUCCUUUGUUGCCAGCGAUUCGGUCGGGAACUCAAAGGAGACUGCCGUUGAUAAAGCGGAGGAAGGUGGGGACGACGUCAAGUCAUCAUGGCCCUUACGACCAGGGCUACACACGUGCUACAAUGGCGUAUACAAAGGGAGGCGACCUCGCGAGAGCAAGCGGACCUCAUAAAGUACGUCUAAGUCCGGAUUGGAGUCUGCAACUCGACUCCAUGAAGUCGGAAUCGCUAGUAAUCGUGAAUCAGAAUGU